This 253-nucleotide ribosomal RNA is filed under the name uncultured bacterium. RNAcentral's name for it is "partial 16S ribosomal RNA". It matches the Rfam family "Bacterial small subunit ribosomal RNA", at positions 524 to 776 of the family's 1533-position model. The record is from RNAcentral.
UACGGGGGGGGCAAGCGUUGUCCGGAAUCACUGGGCGUAAAGGGCGCGUAGGCGGCCCGGUAAGUAGGGGGUGAAAUCCUGCGGCUUAACCGCAGGGCUGCCUUCUAAACUGUCGGGCUCGAGCACGGUAGAGGCAGAUGGAAUUCCCGGUGUAGCGGUGGAAUGCGUAGAGAUCGGGAAGAACAUCAGUGGCGAAGGCGGUCUGCUGGGCCGUUGCUGACGCUGAGGCGCGACAGCGUGGGGAGCAAACAGG